Molecule: ribosomal RNA, 2607 nt
Filed under: Klebsiella aerogenes
Lineage: Bacteria; Pseudomonadati; Pseudomonadota; Gammaproteobacteria; Enterobacterales; Enterobacteriaceae
Description: partial 23S ribosomal RNA
Rfam family: Bacterial large subunit ribosomal RNA
Source: RNAcentral
UAGGUUAACGAGGCGAACCGGGGGAACUGAAACAUCUAAGUACCCCGAGGAAAAGAAAUCAACCGAGAUUCCCCCAGUAGCGGCGAGCGAACGGGGAGCAGCCCAGAGUCUGAAUCAGCUUGUGUGUUAGUGGAACGGUCUGGAAAGUCCGACGGUACAGGGUGAUAGUCCCGUACACCAAAAUGCACAGGCUGUGAACUCGAAGAGUAGGGCGGGACACGUGGUAUCCUGUCUGAAUAUGGGGGGACCAUCCUCCAAGGCUAAAUACUCCUGACUGACCGAUAGUGAACCAGUACCGUGAGGGAAAGGCGAAAAGAACCCCGGCGAGGGGAGUGAAAAAGAACCUGAAACCGUGUACGUACAAGCAGUGGGAGCACCUUCGGGUGUGACUGCGUACCUUUUGUAUAAUGGGUCAGCGACUUAUAUUCUGUAGCAAGGUUAACCGUAUAGGGGAGCCGCAGGGAAACCGAGUCUUAACUGGGCGUUAAGUUGCAGGGUAUAGACCCGAAACCCGGUGAUCUAGCCAUGGGCAGGUUGAAGGUUGGGUAACACUAACUGGAGGACCGAACCGACUAAUGUUGAAAAAUUAGCGGAUGACUUGUGGCUGGGGGUGAAAGGCCAAUCAAACCGGGAGAUAGCUGGUUCUCCCCGAAAGCUAUUUAGGUAGCGCCUCGUGAAUUCAUCUUCGGGGGUAGAGCACUGUUUCGGCUAGGGGGUCAUCCCGACUUACCAACCCGAUGCAAACUACGAAUACCGAAGAAUGUUAUCACGGGAGACACACGGCGGGUGCUAACGUCCGUCGUGAAGAGGGAAACAACCCAGACCGCCAGCUAAGGUCCCAAAGUCACAGUUAAGUGGGAAACGAUGUGGGAAGGCACAGACAGCCAGGAUGUUGGCUUAGAAGCAGCCAUCAUUUAAAGAAAGCGUAAUAGCUCACUGGUCGAGUCGGCCUGCGCGGAAGAUGUAACGGGGCUAAACUGUGCACCGAAGCUGCGGCAGCGACACUAUGUGUUGUUGGGUAGGGGAGCGUUCUGUAAGCCUGCGAAGGUGGCCUGUGAGGGUUGCUGGAGGUAUCAGAAGUGCGAAUGCUGACAUAAGUAACGAUAAUGCGGGUGAAAAGCCCGCACGCCGGAAGACCAAGGGUUCCUGUCCAACGUUAAUCGGGGCAGGGUGAGUCGACCCCUAAGGCGAGGCCGAAAGGCGUAGUCGAUGGGAAACAGGUUAAUAUUCCUGUACUUGGUGUUACUGCGAAGGGGGGACGGAGAAGGCUAUGUUAGCCGGGCGACGGUUGUCCCGGUUUAAGCAUGUAGGCGGAGGUUCCAGGUAAAUCCGGUACCUUUUUAACGCUGAGGUGUGAUGACGAGGCACUACGGUGCUGAAGUAACAAAUGCCCUGCUUCCAGGAAAAGCCUCUAAGCAUCAGGUAACAUUAAAUCGUACCCCAAACCGACACAGGUGGUCAGGUAGAGAAUACCAAGGCGCUUGAGAGAACUCGGGUGAAGGAACUAGGCAAAAUGGUGCCGUAACUUCGGGAGAAGGCACGCUGAUAUGUAGGUGAAGCCCCUGCGGGUGGAGCUGAAAUCAGUCGAAGAUACCAGCUGGCUGCAACUGUUUAUUAAAAACACAGCACUGUGCAAACACGAAAGUGGACGUAUACGGUGUGACGCCUGCCCGGUGCCGGAAGGUUAAUUGAUGGGGUUAUCCGUAAGGAGAAGCUCUUGAUCGAAGCCCCGGUAAACGGCGGCCGUAACUAUAACGGUCCUAAGGUAGCGAAAUUCCUUGUCGGGUAAGUUCCGACCUGCACGAAUGGCGUAAUGAUGGCCAGGCUGUCUCCACCCGAGACUCAGUGAAAUUGAACUCGCUGUGAAGAUGCAGUGUACCCGCGGCAAGACGGAAAGACCCCGUGAACCUUUACUAUAGCUUGACACUGAACAUUGAGCCUUGAUGUGUAGGAUAGGUGGGAGGCUUUGAAGCGUGGACGCCAGUCUGCGUGGAGCCAACCUUGAAAUACCACCCUUUAAUGUUUGAUGUUCUAACGUUGGCCCCUUAUCGGGGUUGCGGACAGUGUCUGGUGGGUAGUUUGACUGGGGCGGUCUCCUCCCAAAGAGUAACGGAGGAGCACGAAGGUUAGCUAAUCCUGGUCGGACAUCAGGAGGUUAGUGCAAUGGCAUAAGCUAGCUUGACUGCGAGCGUGACGGCGCGAGCAGGUGCGAAAGCAGGUCAUAGUGAUCCGGUGGUUCUGAAUGGAAGGGCCAUCGCUCAACGGAUAAAAGGUACUCCGGGGAUAACAGGCUGAUACCGCCCAAGAGUUCAUAUCGACGGCGGUGUUUGGCACCUCGAUGUCGGCUCAUCACAUCCUGGGGCUGAAGUAGGUCCCAAGGGUAUGGCUGUUCGCCAUUUAAAGUGGUACGCGAGCUGGGUUUAGAACGUCGUGAGACAGUUCGGUCCCUAUCUGCCGUGGGCGCUGGAGAAUUGAGGGGGGCUGCUCCUAGUACGAGAGGACCGGAGUGGACGCAUCACUGGUGUUCGGGUUGUCAUGCCAAUGGCAUUGCCCGGUAGCUAAAUGCGGAAGAGAUAAGUGCUGAAAGCAUCUAAGCACGAAACUUGC